AGCCUUAUAUUCAAAAAUGAUUUUAAACUGCAAAUUUAAAGGUGGGUAAGCCCUAAGGCUU
Molecule: transfer RNA, 61 nt
Filed under: Philonthus fimetarius
Lineage: Eukaryota; Metazoa; Arthropoda; Insecta; Coleoptera; Staphylinidae
Description: tRNA-Cys
Source: RNAcentral